UAGCCAGGCCUGGAUACUUACUUAGUAUUUCUUCUUAGAAAUAUCUGAUAAUUCUAUCCACAGUGUUUUCUGUACACUGCUAACGUAUGCAGCAUUUGAAAAAAAAAACAACGGAUGUAAUAAAAUGCUCUCAACAAACUGGGUUUCUCUCUCUCUCUCUGGCUUCCCCUUGAUUUGCAUUUGGGCUGGACAGCUUUGCUUCUUUUUUUGACAAGGGAGGGGGGUCCCGGAUGUGUGUUGAUUCUCUCAUUGCAGGUUUCUGCUGCUUCUGAGCCACGGAGGUAGGACGACAGAAGGAUCUCCAUAAGGUGGAGGACGAAGCAUCAGCAAAGACGGCAGUGGGCUGCUUUUAUUCGGAGGGAGACCCAUUUUUUUGCCACACCGUGUGCCAGCCUUUGCUCAGCAAAAGUCCUCUUUGAUCCGAAGGGCUGCUUCCCGCUAGGCGAGGAAAGAGGAAGCCGACCGUUUUCCUUUGAGGCUUCGACCGGCUUCGCGUCGGUUCCCACUCCUGGCGUCUCCCCUUUCCAAAACCUGUGCUGUGCUGGGUCUCCCGAAAAAAAGUCGAAGGAGAAGACUGGCUUGGAAAAGAGGUGGAGGAGAUAGGACUCUCUUUAGGCCGGAGGCUGGCCGUCGGUGUCGGCCGAGAUGCGGACAGGCCCUUUCAGUAGGAAAACAUGGCGCCUGCCCAGCCCCACAGGAGGGUAACCUUAGGUGUGGGAGCUGAAAAGCAGGCAGCCGCCGGUCCAAAUGAAGCCACAAAUUUGAUCCGAGAGGGAGAAGGGGUGUCCCGUCCCACCCGCUUCCAUGAGUGACGCCUGCAAAGGAUGUUGGAGGCUGGCACGCUUUGAGCCCGGAAGCCUUCGGGAAGGGUCCUGCUGAGGCCAAGUCUGCUCCCGACAGGGCCAAAGGGACACCACGGCUGGUUGAUCUUGUAAGAGCCAUCCACCUCUGAUGGAGCCAUGGGCCAGAUCCUUGGGAAGGUCUCCCACGAUCCCCAGAUCCCCGCGGCAUUUCGGCUCCUCUCCUCCUGGCUUGGCGUCGGCUUGGACGGACAGCUCUCCGGAUCAAGAGGCAUCUUUUCUGAAGCCCGUCCGGCGUUUCCUUCCCCCGUGGUGGAAGAACGCUUUCCGGGGAUGGUGGAGACGGCCCCAUGCCGAGACCUCCCUUCCGACCUACACCCCAAAAGAUUUCCGGAGCUCUCCACCGGCGUCCCCGGUUUUGGAACGCCCGAAGAGGAUGGUGUCUGAGGGCCUCGAGAGCCUCAGCAAAGACACGAAGCAGGGAAGCGUCAGCAGUGGAGACGAUGACGAGAAGGUCCCCCUGGCCUCCUCCACCGAUCAGCAGUUGGGCAAGGCGGUGCCGACCCCCAGGAGCCAGGGUGGGAGGUCCACUCCUCCCCCGGGCUACCAGGGGAAGCUUGAAGCUUAUGAGAGCAAAUACGCCUACAUGAAAUCGUGGCCGGGCCUCCUGAGGCUGAUGGGGGCUCUGGAGCUGAUCUUGGGCGGGAUGGCUUUUGCCUGCACAGCGGCUUAUCUCCAGAAGGACUACCAGUGGUCCCAGCUCUACGGGGGUGGCCAGUGGCCCUAUGGUGGGGCCGUGGGUGCCGGGUACAGCUACUACGGCCCGAUGACGGCCUUUGUGCUGGCGGUGGCCAGCCUGGCGUGGCUGGUGACCGUCAUCCUGCUGGGCCUGGGGGUGACCAUGUACUACCGGACCAUCCUCCUGCGGGCCCAUUGGUGGCCGCUGACUGAGUUUGGCCUCAACCUCUUCCUCUCCCUGCUCUACCUGGCCGCCUCCCUCGCCUACGUCCACGACAUCAACCGCGGGGGCCUCUGCUACUCGAUCCUCGCCACCAACCCGCUGGUGGCGGCCAUCUGCCGGGUGGGCGGGGGCCAGGUGGCCGCCCUCACCUUCCUCUUCCUGAACACCUUGCUCUACCUGGCCGGCGCGCUCGUCUGCCUCCGGAUGUGGAGCCACGAAGGUGGCCGGAGGGGCCCGCCAGUGCAGCCAAAGCUUGUCCUCUUGCGAGAGGCCCCCAAGCCUGCAGCCUCCUUGGGGGCCACCCCUCGGCCUCCCGGGACGUCCAUACGGCGGGUGGAGUUCUCCGAGAAGAGUGAGGAUCCGGAGAGGCUGAAUUACGCCAUCCCGACCGGAUACAACCCCAAGCCUCACAUCGUCCCGGAUUAUAUUAUGAAGUACCCGGCCGUCAGAAGCGCAGAGGAGCGGGAGAAGUACAAAGCCGUCUUCAGCGAUCAAUACGGCGAAUACAAGGAACUUCACCGUGAGAUCCAGGCAGCCCUGCAGAAGUUCAGACUGCUGGACGAGGCGAUGGCCAAGCUGCCCCGCCGGUACCAGAGCCAGAAGGAGCAAAGGCGUGCCUCGGCUUUGCGGAAAGAAUACGAACGCAAGAAGAAGGACCCGGCUUUCCUGGAGAAGCAAGAGCGUUGCGAAUACCUGAAGAGGAAGCUGGCUCACCUCAAGGGCCAGAUCCAGGCCUACGACCGUGAGAACGGCGAGGGAGGCUCCUCCGUCUACUUCUGACUUACGCCUCCCCCCCUCUCCCGAGCGGACACGGAACAGCUCUCCCCCCCCCAAAAAAAACCACCCGAUGUUUCUCUUUGCUGAAAAUGGGGAGGGUUUAUUUUUUUUCAGGGCUGGUGGGAGGGGAAUCUUUCUUCAGAGAAAACCCACUGCUCUCUGGACAAGGAAAGCUUUUCUGCAUUUGGGGACAGUUUCAGAAAGACCGUUUCCCAUUGGGGCGAGCAUUAAAAAAGAAACCCGUCUUAGGAUUUGUAGCAGGAUGGCAUAAACUCUCUCCUGGCUGAGGGUUGUGUUUAUUUUAUUUUAUUUUAUUUCAUUGGCUGAAAAUAAAAGAGGAAUAAUGCUAUAAGGAACCAUGCCAUGAAUGAGCUUUCUCACCGAGAAAACGUUGUCAUGAAUAGCGACAAGGGAUUUCCAUUUUUGAGCACCGCAAUGAGUAACGGGAGGAGGGCUUGUUUUUAAAAACGCACAACCCCCAUCAUCCGCUCACUGCCUGUUUUUUUCUUUCCCCCCCCGGGGACGAUGGGAGGGGCCAUUCCCUUUUGGGAAGUGGAGGUAACCGCAAAGUUUGGAAGCCUCCAGGGACUGAUUAAGUAAACCGAUGGAGGGGAGGCUUAAUCUUUCCAGCUUUUCCCACCCCACCAACCCCUCGGUCUUCAAAGGCUGAGCCCUGCAGAGUUGCAUUCCAGUCUCGGAGUCAUGAGGUGGCCGGGGAGGGGGGCAGAGCGGACUUGGCAAUGUCCACACAUACACCACGCAGAAAACCGGGCUGGCCCUGGGCAGAAGCGGUCCACUGGAUGAGCCGGCACAGCUUGGCCACUUCCCCAGAGCCGUUUUGCACCCUGGGUUUGACAGGAACACAUCAGGUGUGGCGCCCUCGCCUCUCCGGGUCAUUUCACCUUUCUCGAUUCUCCUCCACACCCAAGGAAUUAGGGACUCCCAGCAGUGGCUAGUAGGUGGAAAAACCAAAACAACCACCCAAGGCAUCUAUUUUUUGAUAUGUGGGUUUGUUGCAGGAGGCUCUGAAGUUCUGGGAGCAAGAAGGUGAGCCAGGAAGACAUUUUAAAGGGAAUGGAGUAAAACUGAGAAACAGUGGAAGAAACUUAAGGGCAAAAACCGGGAAGAUGCCAGCCAUGGAACGGGAAGCAAAAAAGUGCAGAUUGUUACAGCUGAUCCUUCAGGAUAAAAUGGAGGAGGAGAAUCUGUUGGCCAAAAAAGUUACUCUUAUCUUUUUCCUUUUGGGGGGUAAUUAAGUUACUUGGACAAAGUUACUCUUGUAUUUCCCUUUUGUGUAGUUAAGUUACCUGGAAAAAAUUCCUCUUUUCAUUGUUUUGUGUAAUUAAGGCCUAGUCAAGUUAUGUUUUGGAAAUACUGGGACUUUUAUGCUCAGGUGGCAAACGCAACACCCACCCACCCCCAAGUGGCCCCGAGUCUGUCCCGGCCACGUCGGCCAGGAAGGAGCGGGCGUUCCAAGGGAUUAAAAGCUUAGCAGCUGGUUUGUGGUGUGUUGUGUUCUUUGCUUCCUCACUCCGGGUGGCCGCUUGGCAGAGGCCGGGCCGGCACUUUCCGGCACCGACGCUCUCGGUGCAGACGGAUGCAGGACGAGACGGAGGUCCACCCCGCCUGGAGGUGUCGGCUCCGAUUUUGCACGCUGGACUAAAGACGCGGCCGCCAAGCCCUGAAGCAGAAGGGGGAGGGGGACGCCUUCAGUUUCAGUCAACACCUUCUGCUUGGAUCGCCCUCGAAUCGGGUUCCAGAGACCCUGCGGUGGAAGAGAAAAACCUGCCCUUUCUUGGGGCCCCCUUGAAAAUAAUGAGCACCCCCACGGCCAGCGGGUAGUGGCCUGCCCGCCGAGAACCACCGAGAGGUUGUCGGGCUGACCCAGCCGUUGGCGGUCUUCGGCGCUGGGACUCCGCGGCCCAUGACUCUCCCCCGCCGCUGAGGGCCGCCGGGCGCGAGGCACCAUGUACCC
Molecule: non-coding RNA, 4513 nt
Organism: Pogona vitticeps (central bearded dragon)
Lineage: Eukaryota; Metazoa; Chordata; Lepidosauria; Squamata; Agamidae
Source: RefSeq, a predicted model, not a curated record